Molecule: ribosomal RNA, 254 nt
Filed under: uncultured bacterium
Lineage: Bacteria
Description: partial 16S ribosomal RNA
Rfam family: Bacterial small subunit ribosomal RNA
Source: RNAcentral
UACGUAGGGUGCGAGCGUUGUCCGGAAUUACUGGGCGUAAAGAGCUCGUAGGUGGUUUGUCGCGUUGUUCGUGAAAACUCACAGCUCAACUGUGGGCGUGCGGUCGAUACGGGCAUCACUGGAGUUCGGCAGGGGAGACUGGAAUUCCUGGUGUAGCGGUGAAAUGCGCAGAUAUCAGGAGGAACACCGGUGGCGAAGGCGGGUCUCUGGGCAACAACUGACGCUGAGGAGCGAAAGCGUGGGGAGCGAACAGG